GAUUAACGCUGGCGGCGUGCAUAACACAUGCAAGUCGAACGAUGAAACUUAACUGAUUUCUUCGGAAUGAUUUUAAGUGGAUUAGUGGCGGACGGGUGAGUAACGCGUGAGUAACCUGCCUUGGAGAAGGGGAUAGCCUUUGGAAACGAAGAAUAAUACCCUAUGAUAUGAUACUAUCUCAUGAUAUUAUCAUCAAAGAUUUAUCGCUCUAAGAUGGACUUGCGUCUGAUUAGUUAGUUGGUGAGGUAACAGCUCACCAAGGCAGCGAUCAGUAGCCGGCUUGAGAGAGUGUACGGCCACAUUGGGACUGAGACACGGCCCAGACUCCUACGGGAGGCAGCAGUGGGGAAUUUUGCACAAUGGGGGAAACCCGGAUGCAGCGACGCCGCGUGAUUUAGAAGGCCUUCGGGUUGUAAAAAUCUUUUGUAUGGGAAGAAAAUGACAGUACCAUACGAAUAAGGACCGGCUAAUUACGUG
This 477-nucleotide ribosomal RNA is filed under the name uncultured bacterium. Its description in RNAcentral is "partial 16S ribosomal RNA". It matches the Rfam family "Bacterial small subunit ribosomal RNA", at positions 28 to 507 of the family's 1533-position model. The record is from RNAcentral.